RNAcentral lists this ribosomal RNA (26 nucleotides) under Ischnocnema guentheri (Steindachner's robber frog). Its description in RNAcentral is "partial 12S ribosomal RNA". Lineage: Eukaryota; Metazoa; Chordata; Amphibia; Anura; Brachycephalidae. The record is from RNAcentral.
AGCGUACCGGAAGGUGCGCUUGGUAA